UUCACACAAACCUUUCCCGAAUUUUAUUGAGGCAUCACCAUCCAUCGAAUGAGAAUUGGUGGCACUAGAAGUAGAAAUCUUGCCAUCCUUAUGAAAUUUCUAUGUUAAACCCGAAUUGGAAGCAUCCAAAGUGGGAGUAACCGUUAAUCUCUUCAUUGGCCCAACAGGCACAUUGAGACCACGCUUAUGGGCUUUCUUUUUACCCAUAAAGAAUAAAGUAAAAACCAGCCAAGUAGUAAAUAAUAAAAUAUUUACUAACCAGCAACUU
This 268-nucleotide long non-coding RNA is filed under the name Olea europaea (common olive). RNAcentral describes it as "long non-coding RNA (OEUR_LNC000418)". Lineage: Eukaryota; Viridiplantae; Streptophyta; Magnoliopsida; Lamiales; Oleaceae. The record is from RNAcentral.